This 381-nucleotide ribosomal RNA is filed under the name Triticum aestivum (bread wheat). RNAcentral describes it as "partial small subunit ribosomal RNA". The record is from RNAcentral. Lineage: Eukaryota; Viridiplantae; Streptophyta; Magnoliopsida; Poales; Poaceae.
AUGGCGUCAAGGCCGACGAGGAGUCUGGCAAGGUCGCCGACCCAGAGUCCACCGACAACCCCGUCAUGCUCGCCAUCGUCCGCACAAGUACCGCAAGAUGGAGGAGAGGCUCGUCAGCGUCUCCGAGGAGACCACCACCGGCGUCAAGCAGAUGCAGGAGUCCGGCACUCUCCUGUUCCAUGCCAUCAACGUCACCAAGAGCAAGGUUGCUUUGAUGUAUACAAGCUGCUGCUGCUCCAGGUGGACAAGGAAGCCCUCAUGGCUGCUGCUGCACUACAGUCUGCUUUUCAUUUUUUGAACAAGAUUGCUACUGUUAUGUGUGUGAUGCUCCAGCUCCAUGCAAGCACUGGGGCAAAGGGCUCUGUCAAGCAGGUCCCUGGU